Molecule: ribosomal RNA, 429 nt
Filed under: Bacteroidota bacterium
Lineage: Bacteria; Pseudomonadati; Bacteroidota
Description: Bacteroidetes bacterium partial 16S ribosomal RNA
Rfam family: Bacterial small subunit ribosomal RNA
Source: RNAcentral
UAGGGAAUCUUCCGCAAUGGACGCAAGUCUGACGGAGCAACGCCGCGUGAGUGAAGAAGGAUUUCGGUUCGUAAAACUCUGUUGUUAGAGAAGAACAGCGCAUAGAGUAACUGUUAUGCGUGUGACGGUAUCUAACCAGAAAGCCACGGCUAACUACGUGCCAGCAGCCGCGGUAACACGUAGGUGGCAAGCGUUGUCCGGAUUUAUUGGGCGUAAAGCGAGCGCAGGCGGUCAAUUAAGUCUGAUGUGAAAGCCCCCGGCUCAACCGGGAAGGGUCAUUGGAAACUGGUUGACUUGAGUGCAGAAGAGGAGAGUGGAAUUCCAUGUGUAGCGGUGAAAUGCGUAGAUAUAUGGAGGAACACCAGUGGCGAAGGCGACUCUCUGGUCUGUAACUGACGCUGAGGUUCGAAAGCGUGGGUAGCAAACAGG